Molecule: ribosomal RNA, 253 nt
Filed under: uncultured bacterium
Lineage: Bacteria
Description: partial 16S ribosomal RNA
Rfam family: Bacterial small subunit ribosomal RNA
Source: RNAcentral
CACGUAGGGGGCAAGCGUUGUCCGGAUUUACUGGGCGUAAAGGGCGCGUAGGCGGCGCAACAAGUCACUUGUGAAAUCUCCGGGCUUAACCCGGAGCGGCCAAGUGAUACUGUCGUGCUAGAGUGCGGAAGGGGCUACUGGAAUUCUCGGUGUAGCGGUGAAAUGCGUAGAUAUCGAGAGGAACACCUGCGGCGAAGGCGGGUAGCUGGGCCGACACUGACGCUGAGGCGCGAAAGCCAGGGGAGCGAACGGG